GGCCGCCUGGCGUAAUGGCAACGCGUCUGACUACGACUGUCAUAUCGGUAAAUCAGGAGAUUGCAGGUUCGACCCCUGCGGUGGUCA
This 87-nucleotide transfer RNA is filed under the name Schizophyllum amplum. Its description in RNAcentral is "Auriculariopsis ampla tRNA". It matches the Rfam family "tRNA". From Rfam's summary of the family: Transfer RNA (tRNA) molecules are approximately 80 nucleotides in length. Lineage: Eukaryota; Fungi; Basidiomycota; Agaricomycetes; Agaricales; Schizophyllaceae. The record is from Rfam by way of RNAcentral.